GAUCUUAUGUUUUGGGUCCCUUCGUCGGGUUCUCUACGGUUACAGUUUGUUGUGUGCCGUAAUGGUGUCUGCAGCGACAAGGUCACACCCAGUUCGAGUACUGAAAAAACACCGGCUCCGGUACUACCCUCUGGUCUAUCUAGCAGCCUCUCGUCUCACUUCUUCUGUGGUGUGCGGCGCAUGUGCUGCUGGUCGAAUGGAAGGAGGUGAUCUUUACGCCGUCGUUCGUAUGGGUGGUGUACUGUACUACACUCCAAAGAGGACAGCGGGAGAGUGAGGUCUGAGGUUUGACUUGGGCAUCACUGCUUAAAAGAAACGCGCACGUCGUGGCAGCACACUCUGAACCUAAGACGAGAGGCCGGCCAGCAGAUGACCGGCCGGUAGACACGAUACCAGAUACGGCUGGAACUACAGAAAAUAGGUAUAGUGAACAGGGUAAUUGAGGUGUCAAACUGUAGAACGUAGAUAUAGAUACUGUGUAAAAGUGGGAGCCGUGUUCGUCUCUACUUCCUCCGUCGGAUUACCGAUACGCGAUGUAGGGGUAGAAGAAGGAGGAUAAGAACUCAAGUAAGACGUUUAGACUACUAGUUGAGUGUGUUCGUUUCGGUGAGUGGGUGCCGGUGUGAGAGUAGAGGCUUUGGCCUCUAAAGCGAGAACCGAAGAAGAGGGGCUGCUGGAGGUUGUCCUCGAAAAUGGAACCGUAUACCAUGGUAUCGGAGGGGCCUGGUGCCUGACAACACACCCAGCGGUUAGCUCUGUUGGGUUAGUGGUUGGGAAGCAGGCCCUGCGAAUGGCAGUGGUCGUUAAGUAGUAACCAUAAUAGACUGAGGUCACCGGCGUUAUAUACCUACUGUCGUUCGUUAUAUGGGCGAUCUCAAAGGUCUCGAGUACGUCACGAUGAGUUGAGCCCCUUGAAACAAGAGGCCAGCGGCUUACCACGCCUGUAUACCGUCUCGAAACUAGUGGGCUGGCUGUGUUACGAAGGUUGUUACUCUAAAAACCGUUCGAUGUUCCGUGUUCAACAGCCCGCCAAGUAACGAACCUUCCCUGGCGUACUGGGCAGGAGGCCCUUGAAGAGGAAUUCAUCGCUGGGGUCGAGCGGUUGGGGAGUCGAGUAGUAAACCGUACCCUGGUUCGGUAUGACGGCGUGGUGACACAACUUACUUCGAAGCCACUAAAUGCCCCCCUGUAUGGACUCGUUGUGGCCUAGACAUAACAUACUUCGCUUGUAGUUGAGAUCUCCACUCAUGAUGUAGUACAAGUGUUAGAGACUCUUGAGCGGUAAGUGUGCGUAGUGUGAACUGAUGUCACCGUUCAGGGUUAAAGAUUCGACCUUGUUAGUCAGUAGAAGUACCCGUGAUUAACCACUUGUGGGGUGACGACGUACGCUGGAGAUACGGAACACACCGGGCAAGUCAAUAACACUGAUGUGAGUCUAAUAGGGUCGGACGGUUACAGAACUCCCCAAACUCGGGUAACUACUAUAAUCGAGAAGAUUUCCUACAUUCUCUUUCUUUCACGACUUUACGUCGCUUGGCUCAGUAAAACACAGGAAUGGACCCUACUUCCAAGGUCUGUUCAAGAACGUGUAUGUCUUAUUUUCGAAACUACUCACAUGACGGCUCACGUUGGCGUUGACGAGUACGUGCCGAAUGCGAAUACGGUUGAACUCGUCCCGACCACGAUACCGGCUGAGUAGCUCCACGAACCAAACCAAUCCCCUUGAAUGACUGCGACCCUUUCCUUGGCGACCGCUCUUGGAAAUGAAGGCUGAACGGCUACGAGGACAACUGUUUUUCUAUUCAAGUCAUUUCUAACAUGAGGGCUAACACCGUAAGAACGACGAUGAUUGUACGUAUCGGGAGCAGACCUACAUGUUUACGUCUCCGUUUGCCGUUUCCUCUCUUUUGGUCUUGCGUGAUUACGUUCCUAUGAAAUCAUGUAGGUUGUCUGAGCCUCCGCUUUCAUGUCUUAAAGAUAAACAAUCGAUACUUCUGUAGGAAAGUCGUUGUUUAAAAAAGCGACUAAGCUUGAAUGAACCUGCGCCUCCAAAACCGUUUCAAAUGUUCCCGUGUGACUUUCCACCUUUACUUCAACGACAAUUCUCCGAGUCAUUCCCAAGAUUUGUUCCAUAUCUCCUCAAGUUUUUACUUCAUCAAGACUAACGGUUCGACGUCGUGUUCUUGGAUCAGUCUGAAGAACCUAAAACGUAAGUCCUCCUACUCUUCAACGACUAGAUGCUUAUAAAUGGAUUGUUUUCAAACCUACGGAAAGAAAAACUACGACGUGUUUUUGUACACGAACUAACCGACUGCGCCAAGUUUUAUUAAUUUCCCCAUCGUUCUCCCGAAGAAAUAGAAGUGGUUCUAAGUUCUAAUUGUUAUUAAGUAUCUCUAGAGUUUCGUUCGUUGUAAGAUAACCUAUGGCUUUACUGAGGUUUUUAAAGUCUAAAACCAUACCGUUCUUAGAAACCACGUUUGGUUUUAGUACGUUUGUGUUGGUCCCAGCGACCCUGUAUACCGAUGUACAGUGGACUCAUACGCUAGCCUCCACGGAAAAGUCACUUUAGGCUGUGAAUACCGAAGCCGCAAGAAGACAACCUCUAACAAUCACCCAACUUGUAGUCGAGUGGAGUCGUGUUCUGUUUGAAAACAUCAGACUAUUGAAUACGUACCUCUCAUACCCUUCUACCUUUACGUUGACUCGAUCACCUGAGAAGUUAAAACGGUUCGACGCGUGAAGUCCUUCAAAAUGCCACAUAAGUACACCCUGAGAACACACAAGUUCUGGUAGGGCUACUAUCCGGUGAUUACAGUCGACAAUACAAAUACUAUCUCUUACUUUCACGUGACGAAGGUUGAGGUUUUGUUGGACAUAUAAAAAGAGGUUCAUUCACACUGCUACCUCUUCGUUCCCUGUCGUACUUGAUAAGUCAUUUACAUUACUCAAGGUGUUGCCAUCUUCCGGCAAUCUACAAAUUAUUGUAUCAAACGUGUGUAGGAUCAUAUCGAUCAACAUACGAAGUGUUAAAUGAAAAAUACAUGGCUUGAGAAUGAAUCCACGAACAUUAUAAACACACAAAUAACAUAUUCUUUUCAACACUUAUUGCCUCCGCACCAUUCUACAACUAGAGUAAGACAAUGAGUCCGUACCUCUAAUAUCCUUCUACCUUUGCGUUAACUUGAACACCUGAGAAGUAAACAAUGUUCAACGGGUAAAU
RNAcentral lists this ribosomal RNA (3220 nucleotides) under Triticum aestivum (bread wheat). Its description in RNAcentral is "partial small subunit ribosomal RNA". The record is from RNAcentral. Lineage: Eukaryota; Viridiplantae; Streptophyta; Magnoliopsida; Poales; Poaceae.